CACGUGAACGGUCUUGCAGUCAACAGACAGUACACUGCUGGUGAGUAUCCAUGAUGCAGUAUUUAUCAACUGACUACCUUCUGCUUCUUCAGUGUGAAUUUGAAUCAUAUUUAUCACACCCAUAUUCAAUCAACACAAGUACAAAAUGUCAUUAGUCCAACACGUUUAGGUUUAUAUCUUGUAAGUGAUUCAUGGCGUUUAAAACCUUAAUGUCUAUCAUUAAUGAAUUCUAAAAUGUCUAUAUAUUUUUCAUGCAGAAAUAGUCACACCUGCCUGGCUUUUUCCAAGAUCCUCAACUCCGGUGGCAGAACCUAUUGUUCAGGGGCUUCCUGGUUGGGCCAUUGCAUUGUUAGUGCUAGCGUGCAUCAUCAUCCUGCUUCUUCUCAUCAUCAUGCUACUGUUAUGCUGUUGGUGCUGUAGGAGAAAAGAAAAAAAGGAAGAAACACAAACCGUAACGCCGUAUGAGAGAACAUCUUUCAAAGAACAUCUGGCCAAUCCCACAUAUAUGUCACACACACCUGAGAGGAGCCCCAACUACCGGAGCAUGGGAGAACCGGAAACACAACAUGGCAACCAACCCGGGAUCUACAUGAACCAUCAGAGAUGAAAACCACAACACCACUAGGCAUGGAGUAACUGAUGCCAUGAAGAGUCAGGAUGGAAAAGCGGUUUCUCUCAUAGAUGCUGGUUUCUUCAGCAAGUUUCUAAAAAUGUGGCAUCAUUACCAUCUCUAAUAGAAGUAUUAUACUCAACGUAAUAGAAAACUAUUUAUUUCUGUACUAUUUAUGAAGCACAGAUAUGGGGAUUUGGGUCUGUGAACUUUUGCAUCUCUUACUCUAUUUCAGUGGAACAUCAUAAGAUCGGGGCUAGUUGUCACAUUUAAUACUCCACUAAAUAUUGACCAGGUUAGGUUUAUUCUUAAGAGAGCCUUUGAACAUUUACACUGUUUCAACA
Carassius carassius (crucian carp) is the source of this 954-nucleotide long non-coding RNA. RefSeq lists it as uncharacterized. The record is from RefSeq and is a predicted model, not a curated record. The transcript has 4 exons. Lineage: Eukaryota; Metazoa; Chordata; Actinopteri; Cypriniformes; Cyprinidae.